CGGAGGAAAAGAAACCAACAGGGAUUGCUCUAGUAACGGCGAGUGAAGCAGCAAUAGCUCAAAUUUGAAAUCUGGCGUCUUCGACGUCCGAGUUGUAAUUUGUAGAGGAUGCUUCUGAGUAACCACCGACCUAAGUUCCUUGGAACAGGACGUCAUAGAGGGUGAGAAUCCCGUAUGCGGUCGGAAAGGUGCUCUAUACGUAGCUCCUUCGACGAGUCGAGUUGUUUGGGAAUGCAGCUCUAAAUGGGAGGUAAAUUUCUUCUAAAGCUAAAUAUUGGCCAGAGACCGAUAGCGCACAAGUAGAGUGAUCGAAAGAUGAAAAGCACUUUGGAAAGAGAGUUAAAAAGCACGUGAAAUUGUUAAAAGGGAAGGGAUUGCAACCAGACUUGCUCGCGGUGUUCCGCCGGUCUUCUGACCGGUCUACUCGCCGCGUUGCAGGCCAGCAUCGUCUGGUGCCGCUGGAUAAGACUUGAGGAAUGUAGCUCCCUCGGGAGUGUUAUAGCCUCUUGUGAUGCAGCGAGCGCCGGGCGAGGUCCGCGC
RNAcentral lists this ribosomal RNA (540 nucleotides) under fungal endophyte. RNAcentral's name for it is "eukaryotic LSU rRNA". It matches the Rfam family "Eukaryotic large subunit ribosomal RNA", at positions 51 to 512 of the family's 3401-position model. Lineage: Eukaryota; Fungi. The record is from RNAcentral.